CGGUGAAUACGUUCCCGGGCCUUGUACACACCGCCCGUCAAGCCAUGGAAGUUGGGAGUACCUAAAGUCGGUCACCGCAAGGAACCGCCUAGGGUAAAAUCAAUGACUGGGGCU
RNAcentral lists this ribosomal RNA (114 nucleotides) under uncultured bacterium. Its description in RNAcentral is "partial 16S ribosomal RNA". It matches the Rfam family "Bacterial small subunit ribosomal RNA", at positions 1360 to 1482 of the family's 1533-position model. The record is from RNAcentral.